Molecule: long non-coding RNA, 496 nt
Organism: Sphaeramia orbicularis (orbiculate cardinalfish)
Lineage: Eukaryota; Metazoa; Chordata; Actinopteri; Kurtiformes; Apogonidae
Exons: 3
Source: RefSeq, a predicted model, not a curated record
UAGACAGAUGAUCUAGAUGAAGUUGUGCUGAAAAAAGGGGACUGAAUGGACAAACCAACCUUACACCCUGGUGUUUGGAACACAUUUAUAGAACUAUGGGACAGUUUAGAGCAGACGGACCCUGGAAAAGAGACUAAUGUCCUCAUCCUCAUCUUCAGUGCAGAGCAUUAGCUAAAAGAAACAAAACAACGUUGUUCACAGUUUGUUUUUUUCGAUCCACCUCACAGCAGUGAGAGCUCCUCCUGGCUCAGGUUUCAUAAUCAGCAGCUGCCAUUGGCUGAACAGACAGAACUGAGCUCUGAUUGGCUCUCAGUCUGAUUGGCACCUCACUCAGUUGGCUUCAGAACUCGAACAUGAUGUGCAAAUAGUAAAUGUAGAAAUGUGCAUCGUCUGUGAACAUGAGUAUGUAGAUCAGUUUGUAUGGAGUCAUAUAUGUGUGUGUGUGUGUGUGUGUGUGUGUGUCUGUAUGUGUGUGUGUGUGUGUGUGUGUGUGGAU